RNAcentral lists this ribosomal RNA (374 nucleotides) under uncultured organism. Its description in RNAcentral is "partial 16S ribosomal RNA". It matches the Rfam family "Bacterial small subunit ribosomal RNA", at positions 527 to 896 of the family's 1533-position model. The record is from RNAcentral.
GUAGGUGGCUAGCGUUGUCCGGAAUUAUUGGGGCGUAAAGCGCGCGCAGGCGGUCCUUUAAGUCUGAUGUGAAAGCCCACGGGCUCAACCGUGGGAGGGUCAUUGGAAACUGGGGGACUUGAGUGCAGAAGAGAAGAGUGGAAUUCCACGUGUAGCGGUGAAAUGCGUAGAGAUGUGGAGGAACACCAGUGGCGAAGGCGACUCUUUGGUCUGUAACUGACGCUGAGGCGCGAAAGCGUGGGGAGCAAACAGGAUUAGAUACCCUGGUAGUCCACGCCGUAAACGAUGAGUGCUAAGUGUUAGAGGGUUUCCGCCCUUUAGUGCUGCAGCAAACGCAUUAAGCACUCCGCCUGGGGAGCACGGCCGCAAGGCUG